Long non-coding RNA from Rosa rugosa (rugosa rose), 439 nucleotides. RefSeq lists it as uncharacterized. The transcript is spliced from 3 exons. Lineage: Eukaryota; Viridiplantae; Streptophyta; Magnoliopsida; Rosales; Rosaceae. The record is from RefSeq and is a predicted model, not a curated record.
CAGAAUCUGUACAGAGCAUCUGUGAUGUGUCUUGUAACAUAGGUAUGGUGCAGUUCUAAGAGAUCCUUAAAGUAGACGAGCACAGCAGUUCUGUCCUCGGUUGACAUAGCGCCAAGGGAUAGCAUCACAAGAUUCAAAGGCCAAACAGGGGAGUUCCUCGAAAAUUUUGCAGUGUAUCGUGAACACACAAACCUGCUUGUUCUCUUACCUGUCCGAAAGACCCGUUAGCAUUUAUCACCAUUCCAGUUUCAUCUAAACCUCCAAAAAUCCUUAGUUUCAAGAUCAUAACCGCAGCAGCGGUAAUGUACCUACCUCGAUGCUGGAGACAUAAGCGAAGCUGAACAAGAGCCUGAAGGGUUUGGAAACUUGUGACCAGUUGUUGACGCAGUUAGUGCUGCUAAUGAGCAACUGAGCUAUGCAUUUAACUCCUGUGCAGGCG